UGGGGAAUAUUGGACAAUGGGCGAAAGCCUGAUCCAGCCAUGCCGCGUGUGUGAAGAAGGUCUUCGGAUUGUAAAGCACUUUAAGUUGGGAGGAAGGGUUGUAGAUUAAUACUCUGCAAUUUUGACGUUACCGACAGAAUAAGCACCGGCUAACUCUGUGCCAGCAGCCGCGGUAAUACAGAGGGUGAAAGCGUUAAUAGGAAUUACUGGGCGUAAAGCGCGCGUAGGUGGUUAGUUAAGUUGGAUGUGAAAUCCCCGGGCUCAACCUGGGAACUGCAUUCAAAACUGACUGACUAGAGUAUGGUAGAGGGUGGUGGAAUUUCCUGUGUAGCGGUGAAAUGCGUAGAUAUAGGAAGGAACACCAGUGGCGAAGGCGACCACCUGGACUGAUACUGACACUGAGGUGCGAAAGCGUGGGGAGCAAACA
Molecule: ribosomal RNA, 427 nt
Filed under: uncultured bacterium
Lineage: Bacteria
Description: partial 16S ribosomal RNA
Rfam family: Bacterial small subunit ribosomal RNA
Source: RNAcentral